AGAAUACAAAGUUUUAUACAUGAUAGCUUCUAAUAAAAAUGCUCACUUAAAGGACAUUGAAGUAAUGAGAAGUUUGUUAGAUUUAUCACCUUUGUGUUUUGUAGCAUCUUAUUUUUUUAUGCUUUUAGAAGAGAACAAGUCUGAUCAAGGUUGACAAUAAGAAAAUAGUAGGGAACUAGUACAUGUUGUACACAUAAGCAAUCUAUUAAUUUUAUAGAUUCUUUUGAAAAUAUUUUAUAAAAAUAGUUAAGAUUUAAUUUGUAUAUCAAAAUCUAAUAUAUGCUAAGUAGAUAUGACAUGGUAUAAAUAAGCACCUCCUGUGUCUUCUUUAAAAUAGUGUCGUAAUUGAUGCAGAUUAAAAUUGGCAAGAUGAGUAUGGAUUGGCAAAAGAAUUUUAAUUGUAUCAAAAGAUCCCAUAGUAACAUUGAAGUUUAUCUUUAAUAUAUUAGUAUAUGUUUAUGAGAUUAUUCAAAAAAAAUUUAAGUUUUAUCAUUCAAACU
RNAcentral lists this long non-coding RNA (500 nucleotides) under Physcomitrium patens. RNAcentral describes it as "long non-coding RNA (PPAT_LNC010310)". Lineage: Eukaryota; Viridiplantae; Streptophyta; Bryopsida; Funariales; Funariaceae. The record is from RNAcentral.